ACAGCCAUACCACUCUGAACAUGACGGAUCCCGUUUGAUCUAGGGAGCUAAGCAGGGCCAGGCCUGGUUAGUACUUGGAUGGGAGAAACACCCCCAAUAAAAAAAUAAAUCUACUCAAGAGAGCGGUGUGUU
Cricetulus griseus (Chinese hamster) is the source of this 132-nucleotide ribosomal RNA. The record is from Ensembl. NCBI's taxonomy places the organism in Eukaryota, Metazoa, Chordata, Mammalia, Rodentia, Cricetidae.